This 467-nucleotide ribosomal RNA is filed under the name uncultured bacterium. Its description in RNAcentral is "partial 16S ribosomal RNA". It matches the Rfam family "Bacterial small subunit ribosomal RNA", at positions 28 to 506 of the family's 1533-position model. The record is from RNAcentral.
GACGAACGCUGGCGGCGUGCUUAACACAUGCAAGUCGAACGGAAAGGCCCUGCUUUUGUGGGGUGCUCGAGUGGCGAACGGGUGAGUAACACGUGAGUAACCUGCCCUUGACUUUGGGAUAGCUUCAGGAAACUGGGGCUAAUACCGGAUAGGAGCUCCUGCUGCAUGGUGGGGGUUGGAAAGUUUCGGCGGUUGGGGAUGGACUCGCGGCUUAUCAGCUUGUUGGUGGGGUAGUGGCUUACCAAGGCUUUGACGGGUAGCCGGCCUGAGAGGGUGACCGGCCACAUUGGGACUGAGAUACGGCCCAGACUCCUACGGGAGGCAGCAGUGGGGAAUACUGCACAAUGGGCGGAAGCCUGAUGCAGCAACGCCGCGUGCGGGAUGACGGCCUUCGGGUUGUAAACCGCUUUCGCCUGUGACGAAGCGUGAGUGACGGUAAUGGGUAAAGAAGCACCGGCUAACUACGU